UCUUCUCAUUCUCAGCCAAUAACUCCUCUUGAUAUACCUCUGUGUGAACUAGGUUUCACUCCGUGUUUCCAAGUCGUGAGUCAAAGUUCCUGAAUCUCCACAUCCUUCUGCUCUAUAGUUGCCUAACACAUCUUAGCUAACUCCUUCAGUUCCUCAAUCUUAUCUUGUAAUUCUCUAUUAUGAUCAUAUAGCUCAUUAUACAUCUCAGCUGAUAUGGAGUUUGGUUGAAACUCUA
RNAcentral lists this long non-coding RNA (235 nucleotides) under Panax ginseng (ginseng). RNAcentral describes it as "long non-coding RNA (PGIN_LNC014666)". The record is from RNAcentral. Lineage: Eukaryota; Viridiplantae; Streptophyta; Magnoliopsida; Apiales; Araliaceae.